GCCUGGGUGGUGGAAUUGGCAGACACAAGGGACUUAAAAUCCCUCGGGACUAAUUAUCCCGUGCCGGUUCGACUCCGGCCCCAGGCA
This 87-nucleotide transfer RNA is filed under the name candidate division WOR-1 bacterium RIFOXYA12_FULL_43_27. Its description in RNAcentral is "tRNA-Leu". It matches the Rfam family "tRNA". From Rfam's summary of the family: Transfer RNA (tRNA) molecules are approximately 80 nucleotides in length. Lineage: Bacteria; Bacillati. The record is from RNAcentral. RNAcentral also lists the same sequence under 3 other names.